CCCUUUCACCUCACUUUACCUUUUUCACUUCUCAGACUCAUCCACACACCCUCAAUCUCUUUCCCCCUUUCACCUUCCUUUCACGUCAGAUUCACGCGAACAACCUGCUUCGAAUUGAACUCCGGCCGCCGUUGAAGACCACGCGAACAACCUGCUCGGAUUUGAACCCAAGCCACCGUCGAACAAGCCCUAACCACGUCUGCUCGGGACAAAAAAAACCCCUAAUCACCAUCUCGAAAUCGGUACGCUUGCAACUGGAUAUGAUAGUGAUUCUCCGGCACCAAAUUUUGUUUCUGAAGAUGGUGUAAAACACAGAAGGGCAAGGAUAUUGGGAGGCGGUAGCAUGAUUAAUUAUGGGUUUUACUCGAGGGCCGAUGACUACUUCUACAAUAAUGCAGGUAAUCUAUAUCAGGGUACACUCAAUGGAAAGAAGUCAUGUCCUUUAGGUGACCCGACCCGAGCGUACGAUGAACAUUUGGAUUAAGGCAUCACCAAUAUGAAGAGAGGCUAGAAACUACCAUCUUCCGACAAGUUAAGUUGCGGCAGGUGCUUUUCGAUACAUAACAGGUCCGCGAGUCAAAUUGUAGUUUAACUCAUACAAUGUCAAACUACAAAUGUUUGUCAUCCCCGCCACAACUGCUAUGUAAUUUUUGGUUGUUUGAAUGUGAAUUACUGUUUAAUUUUUGUAUACUUAUGAACGUUUUGGUCAA
This is a long non-coding RNA of Helianthus annuus (common sunflower), 710 nucleotides long. RefSeq lists it as uncharacterized. The transcript has 4 exons. NCBI's taxonomy places the organism in Eukaryota, Viridiplantae, Streptophyta, Magnoliopsida, Asterales, Asteraceae. The record is from RefSeq and is a predicted model, not a curated record.